GACUGCGGAGGAUCAUUAUCUUCGGUGGUUUUCCACUGUAUUGAGGGGGACUUCGGUCCCUUCUCUCCACCCUUGUCUUUUGCGUACCUAUGUUUCCUCGGCGGGCUUGCCCGCCGGUUGGACAAACUUAUAACCUUUUUAAUUUUCAAUCAGCGUCUGAAAAAACUUAAUAAUUACAACUUUCAACAACGGAUCUCUUGGUUCUGGCAUCGAUGAAGAACGCAGCGAAAUGCGAUAAGUAGUGUGAAUUGCAGAAUUCAGUGAAUCAUCGAAUCUUUGAACGCACAUUGCGCCCCUUGGUAUUCCAUGGGGCAUGCCUGUUCGAGCGUCAUUUGUACCCUCAAGCUUUGCUUGGUGUUGGGUGUUUGUCCUCUCCUUUGUGUUUGGACUCGCCCCAAAGGUAUUGGCAGCGGUCGUGCCAGCUUCUCGCGCAGCACAUUGCGCUUCUCGAGGCACCGGUGGGCCCGCGUCCAUCAAGCUCACCCCCCCAGUUUGACCUCGGAUCAGGUAGGGAUACCCGCUGAACUUAAGCAUAUCAAUAAGCGGAGGA
RNAcentral lists this ribosomal RNA (550 nucleotides) under uncultured Pleosporales. RNAcentral's name for it is "eukaryotic LSU rRNA". The stretch from base 178 to 331 matches the Rfam family "5.8S ribosomal RNA". Lineage: Eukaryota; Fungi; Ascomycota; Dothideomycetes; Pleosporales. The record is from RNAcentral.